GUCAACUGUUCUGGAGUACCUACCUCCCUAGAAAAAUCAGCUCAUGCAAUCAACAAAGGGAAGUAAAAUGUAGGCAGGCCAAAUGGAAUAGACAAAGUCAGUGGAUCUGCAGGCAUACCAAAGGGCUCAGGGCAGUGACUUUGUUGUACAACAGCUGUAGUCCUGUGGCAGGAAUACAACAGCUAUAGAACAGCUGUAGCCAAGCACUGAAAGACAGAGAAAGAGCUACUCAGUGAAGCUGCUGAUCAUUACUGAGCCAUUUAGAAAUCUGCAGCUGUUGAAGCAGUAUUUGUGUUAAGUCUGCUUCCAACGGGGAUGACAGAUCUCAGGAGUAAGCUAAACGUCUGACAAUGAGAAAAAUGUUUGUCCGCAGCAACAGGUAAAUACUCUUUAUCUGAAGAGGAGCAAGCACUAUGAAGAGGAAUUGUGAC
This is a long non-coding RNA of Passer domesticus (house sparrow), 431 nucleotides long. RefSeq lists it as uncharacterized. The transcript is spliced from 3 exons. NCBI's taxonomy places the organism in Eukaryota, Metazoa, Chordata, Aves, Passeriformes, Passeridae. The record is from RefSeq and is a predicted model, not a curated record.